UAACAACCUGGAAACAGAUGCUAAUACCGGAUAACAACAGAUGAUGCCUAUCAACUGUUUAAAAGAUGGUUCUGCUAUCACUCUUGGAUGGACCUGCGGUGCAUUAGCUAGUUGGUAGGGUAACGGCCUACCAAGGCGAUGAUGCAUAGCCGAGUUGAGAGACUGAUCGGCCACAUUGGGACUGAGACACGGCCCAAACUCCUACGGGAGGCAGCAGAC
Molecule: ribosomal RNA, 219 nt
Filed under: uncultured Lactobacillus sp.
Lineage: Bacteria; Bacillati; Bacillota; Bacilli; Lactobacillales; Lactobacillaceae
Description: partial 16S ribosomal RNA
Rfam family: Bacterial small subunit ribosomal RNA
Source: RNAcentral